CUGAGAGCCCCAUUCUCUCUCCCGAAGCCAUUCCCCAUUUCUCUGUCCCAGCAACACUAGGGUUUCGUCGGCUCCGUCGAUUUCAUUGGCAGCGGCGGGGGUGUGCGAGGGAGCAGGCGCUAUGUUCGUCGGCGGAUCGGAGCGCGUGUGCGUGCUGGAGGGAGAUGUGCUCGCCAGCGAUGGGCGGGUAGCACGAUAGUGCGGCGAAAUCUGUCGUCGAGGAGAGAGACGACCGGUUGUGCAGCUAGCUCUGCGUCGACGAGCGAGACGAAUCGGUCGUGCGGUGAGCUCUGCGUCGAUGAGCGAGAGGACCGCGCUGGCCGGGACCGACAUGGCGUAGAUCAAGCGGUCCGCGACGGGGCGUUCAGAGACGAGGAUUUGCGACACAGGAGGAGAUCAUGUGUUGUUUUGUGAUCGACUCGCAGUUUUCGGUUAACUCCAGAUUCCAUUCCAUAGAGUUCUAGAGGAGGAAGAAGACCUGCAGUAGUUCGUCUUGCACAAAGGAAGAAGCCCUGAAAGUAGUUUGUCUUGAAGAAAUAAAGAAGAGCCGGAGUAGUUUGCCAAGAUUUGCAUCUCACGCUCUGUUUUGUGCUAUUUUUUAACCUUACGUGUAGCCUCAUUCUUUCUUGGUUGGAUGCUGAUGUGUUUACUUUGUAAUCUACUCGCAGUUUUCGGUUAAAUCCAGAUUUCACGGAGUUCUAGAGGAGGAAGAAGACCAGGAGUAGUUCGUCUUGCAUAAAGGAAGAAGCCCAAGAAGUAGUUAGUCUUGAAGAAAGAAAGAAGAGCUGGAGUAGUUUGCCAAAUUUUGUAUUUCACGCUUUGUUUUGUGCUGUUUUAACCUUACGUGUAGCCUCACUCUUUCUUGGUUGGAUGCUGAAUCGGUCAAACCAGCAUCUGGAUGCUGGGUUAAACAAACCAGCACCCGGAUGCUGGGAUGGACAAACCAGCACCGGAUGCUGGCUAGCCACGUCCUAACAGAAAAACCAAGAGGUAGAAAUAGAAAGCCAACUAUUAAUACAUCA
Long non-coding RNA from Lolium perenne, 1022 nucleotides. RefSeq lists it as uncharacterized. The record is from RefSeq and is a predicted model, not a curated record. Lineage: Eukaryota; Viridiplantae; Streptophyta; Magnoliopsida; Poales; Poaceae.